Molecule: transfer RNA, 73 nt
Filed under: Pteropus alecto (black flying fox)
Lineage: Eukaryota; Metazoa; Chordata; Mammalia; Chiroptera; Pteropodidae
Also listed under: 1 other name
Rfam family: tRNA
About the family: Transfer RNA (tRNA) molecules are approximately 80 nucleotides in length. Their secondary structure includes four short double-helical elements and three loops (D, anti-codon, and T loops). Further hydrogen bonds mediate the characteristic L-shaped molecular structure. tRNAs have two regions of fundamental functional importance: the anti-codon, which is responsible for specific mRNA codon recognition, and the 3' end, to which the tRNAs corresponding amino acid is attached (by aminoacyl-tRNA synthetases). tRNAs cope with the degeneracy of the genetic code in two manners: having more than one tRNA (with a specific anti-codon) for a particular amino acid; and 'wobble' base-pairing, i.e. permitting non-standard base-pairing at the 3rd anti-codon position.
Source: Rfam by way of RNAcentral
GGUUCCAUAGUGUAGUGGUUAGCAUGUCUGCUUUAUACGCAGAAGGUCCUGGGUUCCCAUCCCAGUGGAGCCA